RNAcentral lists this ribosomal RNA (964 nucleotides) under Stenotrophomonas sp. Tpl-38. RNAcentral's name for it is "bacterial SSU rRNA". It matches the Rfam family "Bacterial small subunit ribosomal RNA", at positions 170 to 1046 of the family's 1533-position model. The record is from RNAcentral. Lineage: Bacteria; Pseudomonadati; Pseudomonadota; Gammaproteobacteria; Lysobacterales; Lysobacteraceae.
CACACACCGCCCGUAGAGUUUGAUCCUGGCUCAGCACACCCCGCCCGUAGAGUUUGAUCAUGGCUCAACACACACCCCCCGUAGAGUUUGAACCUUCGGGUGAAAGCAGGGGCCCUUCGGGCCUUGCGCGGAUAGAUGAGCCGAUGUCGGAUUAGCUAGUUGGCGGGGUAAAGGCCCACCAAGGCGACGAUCCGUAGCUGGUCUGAGAGGAUGAUCAGCCACACUGGAACUGAGACACGGUCCAGACUCCUACGGGAGGCAGCAGUGGGGAAUAUUGGACAAUGGGCGCAAGCCUGAUCCAGCCAUACCGCGUGGGUGAAGAAGGCCUUCGGGUUGUAAAGCCCUUUUGUUGGGAAAGAAAAGCAGUCGAUUAAUACUCGGUUGUUCUGACGGUACCCAAAGAAUAAGCACCGGCUAACUUCGUGCCAGCAGCCGCGGUAAUACGAAGGGUGCAAGCGUUACUCGGAAUUACUGGGCGUAAAGCGUGCGUAGGUGGUUGUUUAAGUCUGUUGUGAAAGCCCUGGGCUCAACCUGGGAAUUGCAGUGGAUACUGGGCGACUAGAGUGUGGUAGAGGGUAGUGGAAUUCCCGGUGUAGCAGUGAAAUGCGUAGAGAUCGGGAGGAACAUCCAUGGCGAAGGCAGCUACCUGGACCAACACUGACACUGAGGCACGAAAGCGUGGGGAGCAAACAGGAUUAGAUACCCUGGUAGUCCACGCCCUAAACGAUGCGAACUGGAUGUUGGGUGCAAUUUGGCACGCAGUAUCGAAGCUAACGCGUUAAGUUCGCCGCCUGGGGAGUACGGUCGCAAGACUGAAACUCAAAGGAAUUGACGGGGGCCCGCACAAGCGGUGGAGUAUGUGGUUUAAUUCGAUGCAACGCGAGACCCUUACCUGGUCUUGACAUGUCGAGAACUUUCCAGAGAUGGAUUGGUGCCUUCGGGAACUCGAACACAGGUGCUGCAU